This 253-nucleotide ribosomal RNA is filed under the name uncultured bacterium. RNAcentral describes it as "partial 16S ribosomal RNA". It matches the Rfam family "Bacterial small subunit ribosomal RNA", at positions 524 to 776 of the family's 1533-position model. The record is from RNAcentral.
UACGGAGGGUGCGAGCGUUGUCCGGAAUUACUGGGCGUAAAGAGCUCGUAGGUGGUUUGUCGCGUUGUUCGUGAAAACUCACAGCUUAACUGUGGGCGUGCGGGCGAUACGGGCAGACUAGAGUACUGCAGGGGAGACUGGAAUUCCUGGUGUAGCGGUGGAAUGCGCAGAUAUCAGGAGGAACACCGGUGGCGAAGGCGGGUCUCUGGGCAGUAACUGACGCUGAGGAGCGAAAGCGUGGGGAGCGAACAGG